GCGCGAAAACUUUACAAUGCUGGCAACAGCGAUAAGGGAACCUCGAGUGCCGGGUUACAAAUCUGGCUGUCGAGAUGCCUAAAAAGCAUUUCAUAGCAAGGGCCGGGCAAGACCGGUGCCAGCCGCCGCGGUAACACCGGCGGCUCGAGUGGUAACCGUUAUUAUUGGGUCUAAAGGGUCUGUAGCCGGCCGGAUAAGUCUCUUGGGAAAUCUGGCAGCUUAACUGUCAGGCUUUCAGGAGAGACUGUCUGGCUCGAGGCCGGGAGAGGUAAGAGGUACUUCAGGGGUAGGGGUGAAAUCUUGUAAUCCUUGAAGGACCACCAGUGGCGAAGGCGUCUUACCAGAACGGACCUGACGGCAAGGGACGAAAGCUAGGGGCACGAACC
RNAcentral lists this ribosomal RNA (386 nucleotides) under uncultured prokaryote. Its description in RNAcentral is "bacterial SSU rRNA". It matches the Rfam family "Archaeal small subunit ribosomal RNA", at positions 339 to 725 of the family's 1478-position model. The record is from RNAcentral.